UAUCACUUUAUGCUGAACAGAAAAUUGUAAAGAAAGGAAACAUGAUGUCAAAAUAUAACAUUAGCACAAAAAGCCCGUGAUUUUAGGAAGAAUGAGGGUGAAAUUAAGUUUUCUGAUUUUACUUUGACAUGGUUCCCUGUUCAUGUUUUCCAAAAGGCAGUGGUCUGAUCUUCACCUUGCUCCUGUCCUGGAGAAGACGUAAGGUGGCUUCUGUCAUGAACAGUUUUGCCUGGGCUCAAUUCCAGUCUGAGAAGAUGGCCUGAAGGACAAGGUCAUCACCCACUUGUGAUGGAGACCAGUGUGGCUGCUGAAAUUGCUCAUCCUGAUGUUCAGCAAGCAAGACUCCAGGAUCCUGGCCAGCUGGAGCAGGAGAGGCUGCCAAGUCCGUCAGGUUGAUGGAGCCAGCAGGCUGCUCCACCUGACUGUCUGGAAGCAUUCUUUUGGUCUCUUGGGAGGUUCCUAGUGUGUCUCCAUUUC
RNAcentral lists this long non-coding RNA (477 nucleotides) under Calidris pugnax (ruff). Its description in RNAcentral is "lncRNA (ENSCPUG00000019993.1)". The record is from RNAcentral. Lineage: Eukaryota; Metazoa; Chordata; Aves; Charadriiformes; Scolopacidae.